UAAGGAAUAUUGGUCAAUGGACGCAAGUCUGAACCAGCCAUACCGCGUGAAGGAUGAAGGUCCUCUGGAUUGUAAACUUCUUUUAUCUGGGACGAAAACGGGAUUUUUAUCUCAAUUGACGGUACCAGAGGAAUAAGCACCGGCUAACUCCGUGCCAGCAGCCGCGGUAAUACGGAGGGUGCGAGCGUUAUCCGGAUUUACUGGGUUUAAAGGGUGCGUAGGUGGGCUUAUAAGUCAGUGGUGAAACCUCCGAGCUUAACUUGGAAACUGCCGUUGAUACUAUAGGUCUUGAAUUAUCUGGAGGUAAGCGGAAUAUGUCAUGUAGCGGUGAAAUGCUUAGAUAUGACAUAGAACACCAAUUGCGAAGGCAGCUUACUACAUAUAAAUUGACGCUGAGGCACGAAAGCGUGGGGAUCAAACA
RNAcentral lists this ribosomal RNA (421 nucleotides) under uncultured bacterium. RNAcentral's name for it is "bacterial SSU rRNA". It matches the Rfam family "Bacterial small subunit ribosomal RNA", at positions 355 to 774 of the family's 1533-position model. The record is from RNAcentral.